AAGUCUUCUCUCACGGGCAAAGGUUUGACCAAUACCCAGAAUUAAACUCGAGAAAACUUCUAAAGAAUAAAUGUCAUCUGGGAGUAUACUAAUAAUCAGCAGAUAAAUAAAUGUCAUUUGGGAGUAUCCAAAUUUCCUUUUGUAUAUCCGAUCAUUAUUCUUUUAAAACCGAUCAUAUACAAUAUUACAACACUUACGAUAAUAUUAAAUAGAUCAAUUCUCCUAAAUAGAUCUAUUUAAGUUUAUGUUUCAAAAAUAGCUUCUCAAACUGGAAAUCAGAUUAAUAGCAUUCAUUAAUAGAUCAAAAGUCUAAACUACCCUCUUACUAAUAAAGCUUAAAACAGAAAAAGAGUCAAAGAUAUUUGACGUCUC
This 372-nucleotide long non-coding RNA is filed under the name Brassica napus (rape). Its description in RNAcentral is "long non-coding RNA (BNAP_LNC025528)". The record is from RNAcentral. Lineage: Eukaryota; Viridiplantae; Streptophyta; Magnoliopsida; Brassicales; Brassicaceae.